CACAAGUAACCUAAUAUAUUCUAGAACCUUUGUGAUCAUAAUCAUGGGUUCUUCUUCUCAAAAGUGGGUUGUAGGGUUACUUCUUGUCUUGAGCAUUUUCUUGGAAUUGAGUGCCAUCACUUUUGGUGAUGAUAAGCUUGAAGAGUCAAGGUGGGGUAAUGAUAAUGGGUGUGGACGAUUUGGUAGGAGAGGUUGUGGUGGACGUGGAGGAUGGGGUGGACGCGGAGGACGUGGUGGAUGGGGAGGGCGUGGUGGACGUGGUGGAGGUGCAGGAGGAGGUUUUGGAGGCGGAGCUGGUGGUGGAGUAGGUGGUGGGGGAGGUCUUGGUGGAGGAGCAGGCGGUGGUGGUGGACUAGGUGGAGGAGGAGGAGGAGGUCUUGGGGGAGGAGCGGGAGGUGGACUAGGUGGAGGAGGAGGUCUCGG
Molecule: long non-coding RNA, 423 nt
Organism: Solanum stenotomum
Lineage: Eukaryota; Viridiplantae; Streptophyta; Magnoliopsida; Solanales; Solanaceae
Exons: 3
Source: RefSeq, a predicted model, not a curated record